AAUCAACUCAAGCAAAAUACAAUUUUUUUAGGAAGAUCGUUUUAUGCCUUUUAAUUUUAUCCACUCUGGCUCUUGCUUGCUUUGCGUGGGAGGAAAGUUCUUGGAGCGAAAACGGGGUUGAUCACCUUCCUGUUGGACCUCCUUGUGAAGUGAGACAGGUGAAUGUCUUAAAAGGAGGCAAUAUUAUCUCCAUAUUUCACCAAGACUGU
Molecule: long non-coding RNA, 209 nt
Organism: Cimex lectularius (bed bug)
Lineage: Eukaryota; Metazoa; Arthropoda; Insecta; Hemiptera; Cimicidae
Exons: 3
Source: RefSeq, a predicted model, not a curated record